GGUAGCAUGGCUGAGGGCCAGGCAGCGAGUUGUAGCCUCGUAGAGGGAUCAGGUAGGAGGGUCCUGUUACCA
RNAcentral lists this transfer RNA (72 nucleotides) under Gehyra sp. MPH-2011. Its description in RNAcentral is "tRNA-Tyr". The record is from RNAcentral. Lineage: Eukaryota; Metazoa; Chordata; Lepidosauria; Squamata; Gekkonidae.